UCCGCUGUCUAGGACUAAGCCAUGCACGUCUAGUACAAACUAAAUGAUGGUGAAACUGCAAAUGGCUCAUUACAACGGUUAUGAUGUACCCGGGAGUUCCGAUGGAUAUUUCCAGUAACACUAGAACUAAUACAUGUCCCUGCGUUUAUUAGUUUCGCACAGUCCGUCGCUGAGUCAUGGUAAACAGUUGAUCGACUCGACGUCCCGGAACAGUUUCCGCCCCAUCAGCUUCGAUGGUUGGGUAUUGGCCUACCAUUGCAACAACGGGUAACGAGGAAUUAGGGUUUGGUUUCGGAGAGGGAGCCUGAGAAACGGCUACCACAUCUACGGAUGGCAGCAGGCGCGCAAAUUACCCAAUGCAGACACUGUGAGGUAGUGACGAGAAGUAAUAAAGCGGGACUUCUGUUUUGCUAUUAUAAUGAGGAAUAACCAAAGGUCAUUCCGAUUAGCAACUGAUGGGAAAGUCUGGUUCCCGCCGCCGCGGUAAUACCAGCGUCAGU
This 500-nucleotide ribosomal RNA is filed under the name uncultured Myrionecta. RNAcentral describes it as "SSU rRNA". It matches the Rfam family "Eukaryotic small subunit ribosomal RNA", at positions 34 to 595 of the family's 1831-position model. The record is from RNAcentral. Lineage: Eukaryota; Ciliophora; Litostomatea; Cyclotrichida; Mesodiniidae.